This 156-nucleotide ribosomal RNA is filed under the name uncultured Flavobacteriaceae bacterium. RNAcentral describes it as "partial 16S ribosomal RNA". It matches the Rfam family "Bacterial small subunit ribosomal RNA", at positions 355 to 507 of the family's 1533-position model. Lineage: Bacteria; Pseudomonadati; Bacteroidota; Flavobacteriia; Flavobacteriales; Flavobacteriaceae. The record is from RNAcentral.
UGAGGAAUAUUGGACAAUGGAGGGAACUCUGAUCCAGCCACGCCGCGUGCAGGAAUAAGGCCUUAUGGGUUGUAAACUGCUUUUAUAUGGGAAUAAACCGCCCCACGUGUUGGGGUGCUGAAGGUACCGUAUGAAUAAGUACCGGCUAACUCCGUG